Long non-coding RNA from Serinus canaria (Common canary), 384 nucleotides. RefSeq lists it as uncharacterized. NCBI's taxonomy places the organism in Eukaryota, Metazoa, Chordata, Aves, Passeriformes, Fringillidae. The transcript is spliced from 3 exons. The record is from RefSeq and is a predicted model, not a curated record.
AGAAUGGCCAGGAACAAGCGGGAGGCAGGACUGUAGAAAGAGCAAAGAAGGUUUUAUUCAAGAGAACCACACAGUUUUUAUAAUGACACAGGAACAGGUGAGAGACAGGAUUGAAGAAAGAGUAAAGAAGGUUUUAUUCAAGAGAACCACACAGUUUUUAUAGUGACACAGGAACAGGUGAGGGGCAGGACUGUAGAAAGAGCAAAGAAGGUUUUAUUCAAGAGAGCCACACAGUUUUUAUAGAGUGAUACCAUACAUUCUGUUUGAUUGGCUCAUUAACAAAAGCACUUUCCUCACACCCUGUUCUUGAGAAGAACAGAAAGAUGAAGCAGGAAAUCACCACCUGCAGAUUGUUUAUACUUAACAAGUUAUCACAUCCUUACA